AUCUAAAGAUAUUACAACUACACUGUUAACUUGACAGUAGACAAAUAUCCAAUUUUAAUGUAUCAAGUUUUGGCGCCGUUGCGACGGGGUUUACCUUUAUUUUUCGGUUAUUUACUUAGUCUAAAACUUCUAACUUGUUUAAUACUUUUUGCAGUUGAUGACCCAGGUGCAUGACCAGGGGACUUAAUUUCGCUUACAAAUCAGGAACUCGCAAGCUUAGGAAGAACCAACCGUCAACAAAAAUCAAUCACUGCAACAAUGGCCAACUUCAGCACUCCAGAACAAAUGGCCGG
This 293-nucleotide long non-coding RNA is filed under the name Brassica napus (rape). RNAcentral's name for it is "long non-coding RNA (BNAP_LNC025210)". The record is from RNAcentral. Lineage: Eukaryota; Viridiplantae; Streptophyta; Magnoliopsida; Brassicales; Brassicaceae.